UACGUAGGGUGCAAGCGUUAAUCGGAAUUACUGGGCGUAAAGCGUGCGCAGGCGGUUGUGCAAGACAGAUGUGAAAUCCCCGGGCUUAACCUGGGAAUGGCAUUUGUGACUGCACGGCUAGAGUUUGGCAGAGGGGGGUAGAAUUCCACGUGUAGCAGUGAAAUGCGUAGAUAUGUGGAGGAACACCGAUGGCGAAGGCAGCCCCCUGGGUCAAGACUGACGCUCAUGCACGAAAGCGUGGGGAGCAAACAGG
Molecule: ribosomal RNA, 253 nt
Filed under: uncultured bacterium
Lineage: Bacteria
Description: partial 16S ribosomal RNA
Rfam family: Bacterial small subunit ribosomal RNA
Source: RNAcentral